AGGCCGAAAUUAGUGUCAUAUG
RNAcentral lists this microRNA (22 nucleotides) under Patiria miniata (bat star). Its description in RNAcentral is "Pmi-Mir-92-o23_5p* (star (passenger))". The record is from RNAcentral. Lineage: Eukaryota; Metazoa; Echinodermata; Asteroidea; Valvatida; Asterinidae.